UGGGGAAUAUUGGACAAUGGGCGCAAGCCUGAUCCAGCCAUGCCGCUUGAGUGAUGAAGGCCCUAGGGUUGUAAAGCUCUUUCACCGGAGAAGAUAAUGACGGUAACCGGAGAAGAUGCCCCGGCUAACUUCGUGCCAGCAGCCGCGGUAAUACGAAGGGGGCUAGCGUUGUUCGUCUUUACUGGGCGUAAAGCGCACGUAGGCGGACUAUUAAGUCAGGGGUGAAAUCCCGCGGCUCAACCCCGUAACUGCCUUUGAUACUGGUAGUCUUGAGUUCGAGAGAGGUGAGUGGAAUUCCGAGUGUAGAGGUGAAAUUCGUAGAUAUUCGGAGGAACAACAGUGGCGAAGGCGGCUCACUGGCUAGAUACUGACGCUGAGGUGCGAAAGAGUGGGGAGCAAACAGG
RNAcentral lists this ribosomal RNA (404 nucleotides) under Actinomycetes bacterium. Its description in RNAcentral is "Actinobacteria bacterium partial 16S ribosomal RNA". It matches the Rfam family "Bacterial small subunit ribosomal RNA", at positions 355 to 776 of the family's 1533-position model. Lineage: Bacteria; Bacillati; Actinomycetota; Actinomycetes. The record is from RNAcentral.